AGUGAACGCUGGCGGUAGGCCUAACACAUGCAAGUCGAACGGCAGCACAGUAAGAGCUUGCUCUUACGGGUGGCGAGUGGCGGACGGGUGAGGAAUACAUCGGAAUCUACUUUUUCGUGGGGGAUAACGUAGGGAAACUUACGCUAAUACCGCAUACGACCUACGGGUGAAAGCAGGGGAUCUUCUGACCUUGCGCGAUUGAAUGAGCCGAUGUCGGAUUAGCUAGUUGGCGGGGUAAAGGCCCACCAAGGCGACGAUCCGUAGCUGGUCUGAGAGGAUGAUCGGCCACACUGGAACUGAGACACGGUCCAGACUCCUACGGGAGGCAGCAGUGGGGAAUAUUGGACAAUGGGCGGAAGCCUGAUCCAGCCAUACCGCGUGGGUGAAGAAGGCCUUCGGGUUGUAAAGCCCUUUUGUUGGGAAAGAAAAGCAGCAGGUUAAUACCCCGCUGUUCUGACGGUACCCAAAGAAUAAGCACCGGCUAACUUCGUG
Molecule: ribosomal RNA, 492 nt
Filed under: uncultured bacterium
Lineage: Bacteria
Description: partial 16S ribosomal RNA
Rfam family: Bacterial small subunit ribosomal RNA
Source: RNAcentral